Molecule: ribosomal RNA, 483 nt
Filed under: uncultured bacterium
Lineage: Bacteria
Description: partial 16S ribosomal RNA
Rfam family: Bacterial small subunit ribosomal RNA
Source: RNAcentral
GACGAACGCUGGCGGCGUGCUUAACACAUGCAAGUCGAACGCUGAAGCUCAGCUUUUGUUGGGUGGAUGAGUGGCGAACGGGUGAGUAACACGUGAGUAACCUGCCCCCUUCUUUGGGAUAACGCCCGGAAACGGGUGCUAAUACUGGAUAUUCACUGGUCUUCGCAUGGGGGUUGGUGGAAAGGGUUUUUCUGGUGGGGGAUGGGCUCGCGGCCUAUCAGCUUGUUGGUGGGGUGAUGGCCUACCAAGGCUUUGACGGGUAGCCGGCCUGAGAGGGUGACCGGUAACAUUGGGACUGAGCUACGGCCCAGACUCCUACGGGAGGCAGCAGUGGGGAAUAUUGCACAAUGGGCGCAAGCCUGAUGCAGCGACGCCGCGUGAGGGAUGGAGGCCUUCGGGUUGUGAACCUCUGUCGCUCAUGGUCAAGCCGCAACAAUGGUUGUGGUGAGGGUAGUGGGUAAAGAAGCGCCGGCUAACUACGUG